AACUUGUGUCAGAUAGCACUGAUGUCAAUAAAUGAAGUUUAGUUCAUUUGUUCAUUUAUGCUUUCAAAGAUGCCGAAACGCCUGCCUUUAUGUAGCUUACAUUCCAGUGGGAGGACAGACAAUACAUAAACAAUUAUGAUAAACGACCAAAAGACUUUCCCCAGGGAAAAGAAAAUCCAAUGGUCCAGAGAACUUCUACAAUUUAUUCCUCCACACUUGGAGUCUUCAUGUCUCGUAAAGUUUCUCCACAUUAGUUUCUUCUCGGUACAACUCAAUAGCCUCCAUAAUCCUCUCAGCCUACAGAGGAUGAGAAAGGAAAGAAGUCAUCACAACAUACUCCAUCAUCCCAGGACACUGAAACUGGAAGAACUGACCAGAAAUUUGCCAAAUGAAAUAGCUUCAAUCUGUUUAAUAAAGACGUGCGAAUAGAGUGCCAAAAAGCA
Molecule: long non-coding RNA, 443 nt
Filed under: Homo sapiens (human)
Lineage: Eukaryota; Metazoa; Chordata; Mammalia; Primates; Hominidae
Description: non-protein coding lnc-SPAG17-1:2
Source: RNAcentral